UGGGGAAUAUUGCACAAUGGGCGCAAGCCUGAUGCAGCCAUGCCGCGUGUAUGAAGAAGGCCUUCGGGUUGUAAAGUACUUUCAGCGAGGAGGAAGGCGGUGAGGUUAAUAACCUCAUCGAUUGACGUUACUCGCAGAAGAAGCACCGGCUAACUCCGUGCCAGCAGCCGCAGUAAUACGGAGGGUGCAAGCGUUAAUCGGAAUUACUGGGCGUAAAGCGCACGCAGGCGGUCUGUCAAGUCGGAUGUGAAAUCCCCGGGCUCAACCUGGGAACUGCAUUCGAAACUGGCAGGCUAGAGUCUUGUAGAGGGGGGUAGAAUUCCAGGUGUAGCGGUGAAAUGCGUAGAGAUCUGGAGGAAUACCGGUGGCGAAGGCGGCCCCCUGGACAAAGACUGACGCUCAGGUGCGAAAGCGUGGGGAGCAAACA
RNAcentral lists this ribosomal RNA (427 nucleotides) under uncultured bacterium. RNAcentral's name for it is "partial 16S ribosomal RNA". It matches the Rfam family "Bacterial small subunit ribosomal RNA", at positions 355 to 774 of the family's 1533-position model. The record is from RNAcentral.